This 374-nucleotide long non-coding RNA is filed under the name Mustela putorius furo (domestic ferret). RNAcentral's name for it is "lncRNA (ENSMPUG00000028475.1)". The record is from RNAcentral. Lineage: Eukaryota; Metazoa; Chordata; Mammalia; Carnivora; Mustelidae.
GGUCUCUGGCUGGUCCUCUGGGGUCCUGGGGGGGUCUGGACACAGGAAGCCAGGCUCCAGGAUCUCAGACACAAGCAGAAAACCCAGGAGUUGGAAAUGGGUUUGUCUUCUCACGGGGCCCCAGGAGUGACGCAUCUGAAAGGCCCAUCAAACCCCCGCUUUCUGAAGCUAAGGUAAGACACCUAAAUGUUCUCUCCAUAUCCUUCUGUAACAUUUUCUAGACAAGAGGGAUAGUGUGUGGCAAUUCCCUCUGGGGAUUCUUUGCUUUCAGGGAGCCAGGCAGCCCUACGGUGGAUUCCCAGGGGAGGAAGAAGAACAUUUACUUCUCAACUGCUCCUCCCUGGGCCCAGCCCACCACACAGGGCAGAUCUUUU